UUUUGGAAUACUCUUUGGGGAAUGUUGGGCACUAAACUUCUCUUUUCUACUACCGCCCACCCCCAAACGGAUGGUCAAACGGAGGUGGCGAAGAGAAGGCUAAGUUUGUGAAGGAGUAGCACGCUCAAGUGCAAGAGAGGAUUCGAGGGAAGGGAGAGAAAGUGGCGCGUCAAGCGAACAGAGGCCGCAAGAAGAUGGUUUUCGAACCCGGGGAUUGGGUCUGGGUGCAUCUCAGGAAGAUACGCUUCUCCGACAAGACCAAGGGGAAGCAUGCCCCAAGGGGAGACCAACCUUUCCUUGUGUUGGAGCGCCUCAAUGACAACGUAUACGUGAUCGACUUGCCUGGAGGUCCGGAUUUGAGGACAAAUCCUUUCCAAGAAGGGGAGGAUGUUACGACCACGCCCGGAAGGCCCAUGACGAGGAGCCUAUAUGAGGG
This is a long non-coding RNA of Salvia splendens (bonfire salvia), 436 nucleotides long. RefSeq lists it as uncharacterized. The record is from RefSeq and is a predicted model, not a curated record. The transcript is spliced from 3 exons. NCBI's taxonomy places the organism in Eukaryota, Viridiplantae, Streptophyta, Magnoliopsida, Lamiales, Lamiaceae.